AUUGAACGCUGGCGGCAUGCUUUACACAUGCAAGUCGAACGGCAGCGCGGGCUUCGGCCUGGCGGCGAGUGGCGAACGGGUGAGUAAUACAUCGGAACGUGCCCAGUAGUGGGGGAUAGCUCGGCGAAAGCCGGAUUAAUACCGCAUACGACCUGAGGGUGAAAGCGGGGGAUCUUCGGACCUCGCGCUAUUGGAGCGGCCGAUGGCAGAUUAGCUAGUUGGUGGGGUAAAGGCCUACCAAGGCGACGAUCUGUAGCUGGUCUGAGAGGACGACCAGCCACACUGGGACUGAGACACGGCCCAGACUCCUACGGGAGGCAGCAGUGGGGAAUUUUGGACAAUGGGCGAAAGCCUGAUCCAGCAAUGCCGCGUGUGUGAUGAAGGCCUUCGGGUUGUAAAGCACUUUUGGCGGGAAUGAAAAGGACUGUGCCAAUACCACGGUUCGAUGACGGUACCCGCAGAAUAAGCACCGGCUAACUACGUG
This 484-nucleotide ribosomal RNA is filed under the name uncultured bacterium. RNAcentral describes it as "partial 16S ribosomal RNA". It matches the Rfam family "Bacterial small subunit ribosomal RNA", at positions 29 to 507 of the family's 1533-position model. The record is from RNAcentral.